Long non-coding RNA from Setaria italica (foxtail millet), 627 nucleotides. RefSeq lists it as uncharacterized. The transcript has 3 exons. The record is from RefSeq and is a predicted model, not a curated record. NCBI's taxonomy places the organism in Eukaryota, Viridiplantae, Streptophyta, Magnoliopsida, Poales, Poaceae.
CAAAGGCCUUUCGUCGCGACUGUUCCUACUGUUUCGUAUAUAAACAUCGUCUUCAGUCUUUAUCAAAAAAAAAAACAUCGUCUUCAGUCUUUAUCAAAAAAAAAAAACAUCGUCUUCAGUCUUCACUCGGAGGAUAACUAUCCUCGCUUGAUAGUCGAUGUCACAAGAUGCGUAAGAAGAGGAGAGUAUCACGGCACGGGUGCAACACAUGUUGAAUUACAGGGGCACUAAACACUGGUGGAGCAUCUGAAGCCACAUCAAAAGCCAUAAAUUUCAGAAUAAGGAAAAAUAAUGGAUUCACAUUGCAUGGCGAAGGAAAUACAGCAUGAUCAUGUCUGGUUCCGAUACGAGGCGUGCGUACAAGGAAGUUCAACAUGUUCCGGCCAGAAGGAGUCCGUGAUGUCUACAUGAAGGAAGCAAUGGUAUAUAGAGCAAAUCACAUAAGAUUUUCAUUAUCUGAAGUGAUUAGCAAAGUGGCCAGAAUAUUGUAUUAUUUCUUUUGGGUCUUGCAUGUGAUAAUUUGUUAUUAUACGUAUGGCUAGGAGGAAGGAUAUGGAAUGAUAAUUAUGGUAACUGAAUUAAGUUAGUCAUAUUCGGUUUAAGUCUAGAGUCUUACCUUGUACGAAA